GUAAGUAUAGUUUAAACAAAACAUCAGAUUGUGAUUCUGGAAACAGGGGUUAAAGUCCCCUUACUCACC
RNAcentral lists this transfer RNA (69 nucleotides) under Cyprinella lutrensis (red shiner). RNAcentral describes it as "tRNA-His". It matches the Rfam family "tRNA". From Rfam's summary of the family: Transfer RNA (tRNA) molecules are approximately 80 nucleotides in length. The record is from RNAcentral. Lineage: Eukaryota; Metazoa; Chordata; Actinopteri; Cypriniformes; Leuciscidae. RNAcentral also lists the same sequence under 2 other names.